This 344-nucleotide unclassified non-coding RNA is filed under the name uncultured Mortierella. RNAcentral describes it as "sequence contains ITS2". The record is from RNAcentral. Lineage: Eukaryota; Fungi; Mortierellomycota; Mortierellomycetes; Mortierellales; Mortierellaceae.
AACGCAUAUUGCGCUCUUUGGUAUUCCGAAGAGCAUGCUUGUUUGAGUAUCAGUAAACACCUCAAAGCUUUUGGAUUUUUUUUUGAAAGUUUUGGACUUGAGCAAUCCCAACACCAGUCUUUUUCAGAUCGGUGGCGGGUUGCUUGAAAUGCAGGUGCAGCUGGACAUUCUCCUGAGCUAAAAGCAUAUUCAUUUAGUCCCGUCAAACGGAUUAUUACUUUUGCUGCAGCUAACAUAAAGGGAGUUUGACCGUAUUGGCUGACUGAUGCAGGAUUUCACAAGGGUCGGCAACGAUUCUUGUUAAACUCGAUCUCAAAUCAAGUAAGACUACCCGCUGAACUUAA